CCACGAUCCAAGGCUAAAUACUAGACAGCUACCGAUAGAGGAGAAGUACCGUGAGGGAAAGAUGAAAAGAACCCCAGUGAGGGGAGUGAAAUAGAACCUGAAACCGUGUACGUACAAGCAGUGGGAGCACCUUCGUGGUGUGACUGCGUACCUUUUGUAUAAUGGGUCAGCGACUUAUGUUCAGUGGCGAGGUUAACCGUUUAGGGGAGCCGUAGGGAAACCGAGUCUGAAUAGGGCGAAUCAGUCGCUGGGCAUAGACCCGAAACCGGGCGAUCUAUCCAUGAGCAGGUUGAAGGUGCCGUAACAGGCACUGGAGGACCGAACCCACUGUCGUUGAAAAGCCAGGGGAUGACUUGUGGAUCGGAGUGAAAGGCUAAUCAAGCCCCGGGAUGUC
RNAcentral lists this ribosomal RNA (394 nucleotides) under Marivirga lumbricoides. RNAcentral's name for it is "bacterial LSU rRNA". It matches the Rfam family "Bacterial large subunit ribosomal RNA", at positions 453 to 849 of the family's 2925-position model. The record is from RNAcentral. Lineage: Bacteria; Pseudomonadati; Bacteroidota; Cytophagia; Cytophagales; Marivirgaceae.